GACAGAGGGUGCAAACGUUGUUCGGAAUUACUGGGCGUAAAGCGUGUGUAGGCGGCUUUGCAAGUCACUUGUGAAAUCUCCGGGCUUAACCCGGAGCGGCCAAGUGAUACUGUCGUGCUAGAGUGCGGAAGGGGCUACUGGAAUUCUCGGUGUAGCGGUGAAAUGCGUAGAUAUCGAGAGGAACACCUGCGGCGAAGGCGGGUAGCUGGGCCGACACUGACGCUGAGGCGCGAAAGCCAGGGGAGCGAACGGG
RNAcentral lists this ribosomal RNA (253 nucleotides) under uncultured bacterium. Its description in RNAcentral is "partial 16S ribosomal RNA". It matches the Rfam family "Bacterial small subunit ribosomal RNA", at positions 524 to 776 of the family's 1533-position model. The record is from RNAcentral.